UACGUAGGGUGCAAGCGUUGUCCGGAAUUAUUGGGCGUAAAGAGCUCGUAGGCGGUUUGUUGCGUCGGCUGUGAAAUCCCGAGGCUCAACCUCGGGUCUGCAGUCGAUACGAGCAAACUAGAGUGUUGCAGGGGAGACUGGAAUUCCUGGUGUAGCGGUGAAAUGCGCAGAUAUCAGGAGGAACACCGGUGGCGAAGGCGGGUCUCUGGGCCGAUACUGACGCUGAGGAGCGAAAGCGUGGGAGCAAACAGG
This 252-nucleotide ribosomal RNA is filed under the name uncultured bacterium. RNAcentral's name for it is "partial 16S ribosomal RNA". It matches the Rfam family "Bacterial small subunit ribosomal RNA", at positions 524 to 776 of the family's 1533-position model. The record is from RNAcentral.